GACGAACCGUGCAAACGUUAUUCGGAAUCACUGGGCUUAAAGGGCGCGUAGGUGGUUGAUCAAGUCUGGGGUGAAAUCUUUCGGCUUAACCGGAAAAGUGCCUUGGAUACUGAUCAGCUGGAGGGAUGUAGGGGCAGUUGGAACUUCCAGUGGAGCGGUGAAAUGCGUUGAUAUCGGUGGGAACGCCAGUGGCGAAAGCGGCAAACUUGACCCUUCCUGACGCUGAUGCGCGAAAGCUAGGGGAGCAAACGGG
RNAcentral lists this ribosomal RNA (253 nucleotides) under uncultured bacterium. RNAcentral describes it as "partial 16S ribosomal RNA". It matches the Rfam family "Bacterial small subunit ribosomal RNA", at positions 524 to 776 of the family's 1533-position model. The record is from RNAcentral.